UCUGGUUGAUCCUGCCGGAGGCCACUGCUAUUGGGAUCCGAUUAAGCCAUGCGAGUCGAGAGGGUUCGGCCCUCGGCAGACGGCUCAGUAACACGUGGAUUAAUCUACCCUUAGGUGGAGGAUAAUCUCGGGAAACUGAGGAUAAUACUCCAUAAGUCUAGGAGGCUGGAAUGCAUCUAGGCUAAAAACUUCGGUGCCUAAGGCCUAAGGAUGAGUCUGCGGACUAUCAGGUAGUAGUCAGGGUAAUGACCUGACUAGCCUACGACGGAUACGGGUUGUGAGAGCAAUAGCCCGGAGACGAUAUCUGAGACACGAUAUCGGGCCCUACGGGGCGCAUCAGGCGCGAAACCUUCACACUGUGCGAAAGCACGAUGAGGGGAUCCCAAGUGCUGGUUCGUGGGAGUCAGCUGUUUCUAUGUCUAAAAGACAGAGAGAGUAAGGGCUGGGUAAGACGGGUGCCAGCCGCCGCGGUAAUACCUGCAGCUCAAGUGGUGGCCGCUAUUAUUGGGCCUAAAACGUUCGUAACCGGUUUAGUAAAUGCUUGAGUAAAUUGUGUCGCUUAACGAUACGAAUACGGGAUAGACUGCUUCACCUUGGGGACCGAGGAGAGAUUAGAGGUACUGCGUGGGGCCACACGUUGAAAGUUCUGUCAUCCUGGGAGCGACCUCCAGUGGCGAGAGCAUCUACUGAGAACCGAAUCUGAUUGAUGACGCACGUAGCCCUGGGGCACCAACCCUGCACUCAGAUAGCUAGGUCAGUUCCCGGACGCUACACUCCUGGCUCGAUAGAAUGUUAGUGGACUUGCGAGCCGAACUUCGGUUCGGACGUAUAUUGUAAGGCAAGUCUGCCGGACACACCGCUCCGUAGACUGUACCUAUGUAUGCGCGAACAUCCCGGGGCAGUACGUAUCGAUACCCCCCGUAUCUCACAG
This 931-nucleotide ribosomal RNA is filed under the name uncultured archaeon. RNAcentral describes it as "partial 16S ribosomal RNA". It matches the Rfam family "Archaeal small subunit ribosomal RNA", at positions 4 to 828 of the family's 1478-position model. The record is from RNAcentral.